RNAcentral lists this non-coding RNA (148 nucleotides) under Pan troglodytes (chimpanzee). Lineage: Eukaryota; Metazoa; Chordata; Mammalia; Primates; Hominidae. The record is from Rfam by way of RNAcentral.
GCUGGGCGUGGUGGAGCAUGCCUGUAAUCCCAGCUACUUGGGAGGCUGAGGCAAGAGAAUCACCUGAACCCAGGAGGUAGAGGCUGCAGUGAGCCGAGAUAGCACCAUUGCACUCCCGCCUGGGUGACAGAGUGAGAUUCUGUCUCAA